AAUGACUAUUAACUAUUAUAAGAUAUUAAGACAAAAAGAAUAAUAAAUCUAACAAGGGGAUUAUGAUACAUCUAGUUGUAGUUGAUUUU
Molecule: small RNA, 89 nt
Organism: Arabidopsis thaliana (thale cress)
Lineage: Eukaryota; Viridiplantae; Streptophyta; Magnoliopsida; Brassicales; Brassicaceae
Source: Rfam